AUGGAACCUACCGAUAUUUUAGCACUCUUCAAGUACCAUUCCUUUUCUGGAGCAGAAACGGCAGACCAGAGGUUACGUGAGCAGCUGGAAACUAUUGCAGAGAAGCUUGCUAAAAAAUUUGGAAGAUCUCCUCUGGCAGCAAAAACUGUGGGUUUACAGCUCGGCAGGAAAAAGGAUAAGGCUGAAUGGGAAAAUGCUCUAAGGAUUGACAACUUAAGUGAUCCCACUAAAGCACUUCUGUGGAGUUACCAGAAGUUAGAUCCAAGUCUGCAGAGGUGUUUUCUAUAUUGCAAUUUAUAUCCAAAAGGCUACAAUUAUAAAAUUAAGGAGUUGGUUCACCUGUGGAUGGCAGAGGGACUUAUUGAUUCGAGCAAUGUGGACAAGAGAACAGAAGAUAUGGGAAAGGAUUGCUUUAUUGAGAUGGCCAAUGUUUCAUUCUUUCAACGAGUUUAUAAUAUGUACACUGGUACGUCCUAUGUUAUGCAUGAUCUCAUUCAUGAUAUGGCACAGUCACUCUCCAAAGAAGAUUGCUAUAGACUGGAUGAUGAUAAGGUGACAGAAAUACCCUGCACUAUCCAGCAUUUAUCUAUUUGUGUUGAGAGUAUACAAAAGCACAAGCAAAGCAUUUGCAAGCUACAUCAUUUGCGCACUGUUAUCUGCAUUCAUCCGCUGAUAGAUGAAGUAAAUGAUGUUUUUAUUGGGCUAUUGGAGAAUUUGAAGAAGUUACGUGUACUGUCUUUGUCAUUUUACAAUAGUUGGAAGUUGCCAGAAUCAGUUGGUAAGCUGAAGCAUCUUCGCUAUUUGAACAUCAGCAACACAUGGAUUUCUGAAUUGCCAAGAUCAUUGUGUACUCUUUACCAUUUACAAUUCCUUCAUUUCAGUGACAAAGUUAAGAGUUUGCCGGACAAAAUAUGCAAUUUAAGUAAGUUGUGUUAUCUCGAAGGAAUCAGUCACAGAGGCAAGCAUGUGCAUGAUCUGCCUCAAAUCCCUUACAUAGGCAAGUUAACCUCGCUCCAAGGACUUCAUAAUUUUUCCGUGCAAAAGCAGAAGGGAUUUGAGUUGUGCCAGCUUAGGGACAUGAACGAGCUUGGUGGCUAUUUGAAUGUGACGAAUCUUGAAAACGUCACUGCAAAGGAGGCCUUGGAGUCAAAGCUUCAUCUGAAAAGUCAUCUUGAAAGCUUGCGCCUUGAAUGGAGUUCCAACAAUGACAUGACUACUAAUAGUUUACAUCUGGAGAUAUUGGAAGGUCUAAUGCCACCGACUCAACUUGGGAGUCUUACUAUUAAAGGCUACAGAUCUAUAAAAUAUCCAGGCUGGUUCCUUGAGGGUUCUUAUUUUCAGAAUUUAGAAUCUUUUGCACUUGUUAAUUGCAGUGCAUUACAAGGCCUGCCAUCUAAAGUAUUUGGGAAUUGCUCCUCACUUGUCCUCACGAAUAUCCCAAACCUGGUAACGUUACCAUCUCUUCCUGCAGGUCUUAAAGAUUUAAAGAUUGAGGAAUGUCCACUGCUUGUAUUUAUCUCCAGCGACGAGCUAGAACAACAAGACCAGAGGGAUAACACUUUGAUGACAGACUGGUUGGUAUCGCAGCUUUCUUCCAUGUGGGAGGUGGAUUCAGAAUCAGAAAUCAGGAAGAUACUAUCUGCUGAACAUUCAUCUGUGAAGCGGUUGGUGAUUUCGAUGGAUGCUGAUAUGUCUCAGCUUCAAAUAAUUGAAUGUGCUCUAGAAAGAGGAUUGGGAAAAGAGGAUACCAUCAAGACAUGGAUAUGGUGCCAUGAGGAGAGGAUAAGACUCAUUUGUACAAGGAACAUCGGCAUGCCACUGGUUCCACCAUCAAGGCUUUGUCGGCUUGACCUUUCUUCAUGCAUUAUUACAGAUGCAGCAUUAGCUAUUUGCCUUGAAUGUCUCACUUCACUGAGACAUUUGUCAUUAAAAGAGAUUAUGACUUUAACUACACUUCCAUCACCAGAUGUCCUCCAACAGUUGACAAAGCUUCAUUGCUUGCACAUCGACUCAUGCUGGUACCUUAGAGCAUUAGGGGGGUUACGAGCUGCUACCGCUCUUUCAGGAAUUUCAUUACGGAGCUGCCCUUCUUUAGACUUGACACGUGGGUCAGAGUUUUUGCCAUUGUCCCUUGAGAGUGUCUUCAUACAACAUUGUUUGGUUGCAGCUGAUCUCUUCAGUAGUGACUUGCCGCACCUGAAACAUCUUGGCAUGAUUUGGUGCAGAACUUCUUCAUCGUUGUCGAUUGGUCAUUUAACCUCCCUUAAAUCAUUAUCACUACACAAUCUGCAGCACUUGUGCUUUCUUGAAGGCUUGUCUUCGCCACUAUUGGAUGCACAUUUUACAAAUGUCCCGAACCUCAGUAUGAAUUGCAUAUCACAGCUGCGUGUUGAGAAUUCCCUCUAUGUUAGCAGCCCUGUAAUGCUCAACCACAUGCUCCUAUCUGAAGGUUUUACAGUUCCAGGAACUCUCGCUAUUUCAGAAUGCAAGGAGCGAUUCUUUUCGUUUGAAGAAUCAGCAGAUUUGUCAUCUGUCGACCGCUUGUUAUUUAUGAAUUGUGAAAUCAGUUCAUUGCCAGAUUUGAAGUGCUUUUCAUGUCUGACGAUGCUCCAAAUUAUUCGAUGCCCCAAUCUAUCAUUUUUACCAGAUUUGCCAUCCUCCCUCUACUGCAUAUGUGUGAGUGGUUCUGAACUCUUGAAGAAGAGUUGUCAAUCACCUCAUGGUGAAAGCUGGCCAAAAAUUGAGCAUAUCCGUUCAAAAUAUUUUAAUUAA
RNAcentral lists this ribosomal RNA (2772 nucleotides) under Triticum aestivum (bread wheat). RNAcentral's name for it is "partial small subunit ribosomal RNA". The record is from RNAcentral. Lineage: Eukaryota; Viridiplantae; Streptophyta; Magnoliopsida; Poales; Poaceae.